Humulus lupulus (European hop) is the source of this 567-nucleotide long non-coding RNA. RefSeq lists it as uncharacterized. The record is from RefSeq and is a predicted model, not a curated record. The transcript is spliced from 2 exons. Lineage: Eukaryota; Viridiplantae; Streptophyta; Magnoliopsida; Rosales; Cannabaceae.
GUAAAUAGAUGAGUUUGAGCUGAGGGAAUAACAUAUACGUAUAAUAUUUUGGAGAGGGGUUUAUGCUGAAUGGUGGAAACCUAGAAUUAGAACAAAAAGGAGAUAGAAAGGAGAAGCAGAAAUCUAGACUCUUGGAAGGAGAAUCAAGGGAUGUCUGAAGUUAUCAACCAAGUUUAGGCCAAGAAAACUCAGAGAAUUUGGAAACCAAGGGGGAAGAAGGUCAAGAGCUGGAGGUUGAACCUAUCACUUAAGGACUUUGGAGAAGCUCGGGAUAGAGGACCGUGCUUGUGGCUACGUGAUAUCGGAAACCAGCGAAUUGAAAGGUAAGGGUAAGGGCAAGCUGGACCAGGCCUGAGGUGGAGAGCUCCGAGGUGAAAUGUACAUAGCCAGCCGUUCGAUCACCACGGUCGAGGAGUGUGUCAGGACGGAGAUUACCUAACCACUCAUUUUGCCUUAGUAUGGCUGUUGAUGUAUAUAGACUUUGUAACUUUUGUAAAUGACUUUUAAACUGUCAUUUUUGGGAUCCCUUGUACAUAAACAAUGUUUAGUAAUGAAAAUGUAUCUUUU